UAAAAAUUCCCGAAAGGUAAAAUAUGCUUAAUGGAUAUUUGCAUAACGUGGCGGAAUGCGCGCGUCGGAACGGUCACAAAUAAGCGGCGAAGGGGGAUAUUUUUACAAAGGGUGCAGCGGGAGUCGCUAACGUGACGUUCCGUCGUUUUAUGUAACGAUAUUUAGCAACACACAUACACAUACACCACGACCAUUUGCAUAGGCCCAUCGGUCGGAUGGGUCGCUCCAGUAGAGGGAAGCACCGUAGAGCCCGACGUAAGGCGGAAGCCGCAAUACAUCCCGCAUCUACUAUUGCGACAAAGGCAUCAAGGUCUUACGUCCCUCACGUACGUGACGAAAACAUUAGAGUAGAAGAAACAACACAUUUUAUCCUUCCAACAUGCCUGGAAGAUAUGUCGUCAGAUCUACAUAACCACUGCCAAAUUUGAGAUCUCAAUGAAACUGGGUUAAUGAAUAGUUUUUGUAAUAUAUAGAAAAAUGUUAUAAUAAGUUGUAAAGAUAAACUGAUAAACUACAAAUUAUAAUUUUGUUUCUUGUUAAAAGUUUGUAAAUGAGCAUUUAAUAAAGAUGCUAUUAUAAAGUUGCUUUAAGUGAAAAAAUC
RNAcentral lists this long non-coding RNA (601 nucleotides) under Androctonus crassicauda. The record is from RNAcentral. Lineage: Eukaryota; Metazoa; Arthropoda; Arachnida; Scorpiones; Buthidae.